This 226-nucleotide unclassified non-coding RNA is filed under the name Hevea brasiliensis (rubber tree). Lineage: Eukaryota; Viridiplantae; Streptophyta; Magnoliopsida; Malpighiales; Euphorbiaceae. The record is from RNAcentral.
CGAAAAUCAGAUUCUUCUACAUUAACCUUAACAUAACAAAAUAUGGUCAUUUAGAACCUGCUACCCAGCAUGCCGUUACAAUAAGAACUAUUGGUUGAACAAUGCCAAAUGAUUAUUUUUUGUCUCAAGAUAGAAACAUCUCUAGGAAGGGAAAACUGACUUGAUAGUUUCUCAUUUGUUGCCAAUAUUAUUUUACUUUGUAGGUCAAAACUUGUCAUGUAUGUGG